GACGAACGCUGGCGGCGUGCCUAACACAUGCAAGUCGAACGGAAAGGCCCUGCUUUUGUGGGGUGCUCGAGUGGCGAACGGGUGAGUAACACGUGAGUAACCUGCCCUUGACUUUGGGAUAACUCUAGGAAACUGGGGCUAAUACCGGAUAGGAGCUCCUGCUGCAUGGUGGGGGUUGGAAAGUUUCGGCGGUUGGGGAUGGACUCGCGGCUUAUCAGCUUGUUGGGGGGGUAGUGGCUUACCAAGGCUUUGACGGGUAGCCGGCCUGAGAGGGUGACCGGGGACAUUGGGACUGAGAUACGGCCCAGACUCCAACGGGAGGCAACAGGCGGGAAUAUUACACAAUGGGCGGGAGCCUGAUGCAACAGCGCCGCGAGCGGGAUGACCGCCUUCGGGUUGUAAACCGCUUUCGCCUGAGACGAAGCGUGAGUGACGGUAAUGGGUAAGGAAGCACCGGCUAACUACGUG
Molecule: ribosomal RNA, 468 nt
Filed under: uncultured bacterium
Lineage: Bacteria
Description: partial 16S ribosomal RNA
Rfam family: Bacterial small subunit ribosomal RNA
Source: RNAcentral